RNAcentral lists this ribosomal RNA (477 nucleotides) under uncultured bacterium. Its description in RNAcentral is "bacterial SSU rRNA". It matches the Rfam family "Bacterial small subunit ribosomal RNA", at positions 9 to 523 of the family's 1533-position model. The record is from RNAcentral.
GAGUUUGAUCCUGGCUCAGGAUGAACGCUGGCGGCGUGCCUAAUACAUGCAAGUCGAGCGGUAAGGCCCCUUCGGGGGUACGCGAGCGGCGGACGGCUGAGUAACACGUAGGAACGUACCCCAAACUGAGGGAUAAGCACCAGAAAUGGUGUCUAAUACCGCAUGUGCUCUUCGGAGUAAAGCUUCGGCGGUUUGGGAACGGCCUGCGCAUGAUUAGCUUGUUGGUAAGGUAAUGGCUUACCAAGGCGAUGAUCAUUAGCUGGUCUGAGGGGAUGACCAGCCAGACUGGGACUGAGAACGGCCCAGACUCCUACGGGAGGCAGCAGUAGGGAAUCUUCCACAAUGGGCGAAAGCCUGAUGGAGCAACGCCGCGUGCAGGAUGAAUGCCUUCGGGUUGUAAACUGCUUUUAUCUGUGACGAUUAUGACGGUAGCAGAUGAAUAAGGAUCGGCUAACUCCGUGCCAGCCGCCGCCGUAA